UACGGGGGGUGCAAGCGUUAUUCGGAAUCACUGGGCGUAAAGCGCACGCAGGCGGCCGUUUAAGUCAGAUGUGAAAGCCCGGGGCUCAACCCCGGAAGUGCAUUUGAUACUAUUCGGCUUGAGUAUGGGAGAGGGAAGUGGAAUUCCUGGUGUAGAGGUGAAAUUCGUAGAUAUCAGGAGGAACACCGGUGGCGAAGGCGACUUCCUGGACCAAUACUGACGCUGAGGCGCGAAGGCGUGGGGAGCAAACAGG
Molecule: ribosomal RNA, 253 nt
Filed under: uncultured bacterium
Lineage: Bacteria
Description: partial 16S ribosomal RNA
Rfam family: Bacterial small subunit ribosomal RNA
Source: RNAcentral